GAGAGUAGAGGCUCAUCAACUGAGUUCUUUCCAGAGAGGGACCUUGUAAGGCUGACUUUGGAAUAUGACUGCAUUCUGGUAAGCCCACUGGAUAAGUGAGCUAUAACAUAAAUCCUUAGGUUAUAAGGAGGAGAGCUUACUAGAACUAUUUAUUAGUAGCCAAUGUUUACCUGCCAAAAAUGAUUUUAAUUUAUAUGUUUUCCCAGAAAACACAUCCAGCUAUGUAUUUCUAGAGUCUGAAGAUGGAGAGAUUUCCAGUUUAAGAUGCCAUACUGAACAUAUACACUGAUCUCUUUGCCUUUGGAAACUCCAUUAAGCUGAUUGUAAAGGAGGAAAAGGAUUCUCACAUGACAAUGAAGAGACUGAAGAAGUAUCAUCAAUGGAUAAAGCAGAAUAGAAAUAGCAGCCGCCUGGACCAUACCUAGAAAGGAAUCAUUUUGCCUGGCAGAAGCAUGAAACAGUUCCAUAUUUGAGAUGGCAUUUACCACUGAGG
This 493-nucleotide long non-coding RNA is filed under the name Homo sapiens (human). RNAcentral's name for it is "non-protein coding lnc-GCA-5:1". Lineage: Eukaryota; Metazoa; Chordata; Mammalia; Primates; Hominidae. The record is from RNAcentral.